AAUAAAGUGCCUGAUAAAAGGGUUAUCUUGAUAGGAUAAAUCAUGUGCAAUUUUGUAUCUUUAUUA
RNAcentral lists this transfer RNA (66 nucleotides) under Lachesilla sp. LaspMLY. RNAcentral describes it as "tRNA-Ile". Lineage: Eukaryota; Metazoa; Arthropoda; Insecta; Psocodea; Lachesillidae. The record is from RNAcentral.